RNAcentral lists this microRNA precursor (86 nucleotides) under Folsomia candida. RNAcentral describes it as "mir-184 microRNA precursor family". It matches the Rfam family "mir-184 microRNA precursor family". The record is from Rfam by way of RNAcentral. Lineage: Eukaryota; Metazoa; Arthropoda; Collembola; Entomobryomorpha; Isotomidae.
UCCAUCUCAAUUCCUUAUCAUUCACCAGUCCGGUGCGUUUUAUGUUUUAUCAACUGGACGGAGAACUGAUAAGGGCUUGAGCAUGG